UGAACGCUGGCGGCGUGCCUAAUACAUGCAAGUCGAGCGAACAGACGAGGAGCUUGCUCCUCUGACGUUAGCGGCGGACGGGUGAGUAACACGUGGAUAACCUACCUAUAAGACUGGGAUAACUUCGGGAAACCGGAGCUAAUACCGGAUAAUAUAUUGAACCGCAUGGUUCAAUAGUGAAAGACGGUUUUGCUGUCACUUAUAGAUGGAUCCGCGCCGCAUUAGCUAGUUGGUAAGGUAACGGCUUACCAAGGCAACGAUGCGUAGCCGACCUGAGAGGGUGAUCGGCCACACUGGAACUGAGACACGGUCCAGACUCCUACGGGAGGCAGCAGUAGGGAAUCUUCCGCAAUGGGCGAAAGCCUGACGGAGCAACGCCGCGUGAGUGAUGAAGGUCUUCGGAUCGUAAAACUCUGUUAUUAGGGAAGAACAAAUGUGUAAGUAACUAUGCACGUCUUGAUGGUACCUAAUCAGAAAGCCACGGCUAACUACGUG
Molecule: ribosomal RNA, 495 nt
Filed under: uncultured bacterium
Lineage: Bacteria
Description: partial 16S ribosomal RNA
Rfam family: Bacterial small subunit ribosomal RNA
Source: RNAcentral